Molecule: ribosomal RNA, 277 nt
Filed under: uncultured bacterium
Lineage: Bacteria
Description: partial 16S ribosomal RNA
Rfam family: Bacterial small subunit ribosomal RNA
Source: RNAcentral
GACGAACGCUGGCGGCGUGCUUAAUACAUGCAAGUCGAACGAGGCUUAUCCGAUUGAAAGAUCGGAGAAGGCCUAGUGGCGAACGGGUGAGUAACACGUGAGCAACCUGCCCCGAAGACCGGGAUAACAGUGGGAAACCGCUGCUAAUACCGGAUGCCCCCACCGGAUCCCAUGGUCUGGUGAGGAAAUGCCUGGUUCAUUAGAGUCAGUACGCUUCGGGAGGGGCUCGCGGCCUAUCAGCUUGUUGGUGGGGUAACGGCCUACCAAGGCGUCGACG